GCGGACGGGUGAGUAAUGCUUGGGAAUCUGGCUUAUGGAGGGGGAUAACUGUGGGAAACUGCAGCUAAUACCGCGUAUUCUCUGAGGAGGAAAGGGUGGGACCUUAGGGCCACCUGCCAUAAGAUGAGCCCAAGUGGGAUUAGGUAGUUGGUGGGGUAAAGGCCUACCAAGCCUGCGAUCUCUAGCUGGUCUGAGAGGAUGACCAGCCACACUGGAACUGAGACACGGUCCAGACUCCUACGGGAGGCAGCAGUGGGGAAUAUUGCGCAAUGGGGGGAACCCUGACGCAGCCAUGCCGCGUGAAUGAAGAAGGCCUUCGGGUUGUAAAGUUCUUUCGGUAAUGAGGAAGGGACGUUGUUAAAUAGAUAGCAUCAUUGACGUUAAUUACAGAAGAAGCACCGGCUAACUCCGUGCCAGCAGCCGCGGUAAUACGGAGGGUGCGAGCGUUAAUCGGAAUAACUGGGCGUAAAGGGCACGCAGGCGGACUUUUAAGUGAGAUGUGAAAUCCCCGAGCUUAACUUGGGAACUGCAUUUCAGACUGGGAGUCUAGAGUACUUUAGGGAGGGGUAGAAUUCCACGUGUAGCGGUGAAAUGCGUAGAGAUGUGGAGGAAUACCGAAGGCGAAGGCAGCCCCUUGGGAAUGUGCUGACGCUCAUGUG
RNAcentral lists this ribosomal RNA (659 nucleotides) under uncultured Pasteurella sp. RNAcentral's name for it is "bacterial SSU rRNA". It matches the Rfam family "Bacterial small subunit ribosomal RNA", at positions 98 to 753 of the family's 1533-position model. Lineage: Bacteria; Pseudomonadati; Pseudomonadota; Gammaproteobacteria; Pasteurellales; Pasteurellaceae. The record is from RNAcentral.